AUGGUGCCAGCGGCCCGGGCCGGGGGCGUUGCGGCGUUGGGCAGGCGGGCAGGCGGGCAGGGACCGGGGCCCGGCACUGCGGAGCCCCCAGCUGAGGGGCCGCGCCGGCUGCGGAGCCCCGAGCGAGCGCCGAGCGGCAGCGGGCGCGGGAGCGGGAGGCGGCCAAGCCACGGAGGCUGGAUUUCCCGGGGACCGGGAAGGGGAGGCGGGGGGGAUCCCGCCCGCGCGCUCCGCCCCCGCCCCCGCCCCCGCGCAGGGCGACCAAGCCGGGAGAGGGAGAGGGAGAGGGAGGGGGACCGAGCUCCUCGCCCCCGCGCGGACCCAGGAGAGCCGAGGUCGCCGCCCGCGGGCGGCCGCCGGGGUCCCCGAGGAGCGCCCACCUCGCUGAGCGACGGUGCUGGGGGCACCCAGCGUAGGGGCAGGAAUGAGAUCCCCCUCCCCGGGGACCCAGGAACAGGCACCCGAAGUGUCACGGCCACGCACAGCCGACCUGGGCACAGGGACCCAAGCCCGGCGGCGGGCGGGCGGCCGGGGGCCAGCUUAGCCUCACUGACCGGGUCUCGCCCCCCGCCGAGGCGCAGUCACGCCCUGAAUGUCACACACAGCUCCCAGGCCCGUCCGCUUAGGAGACUCUCCUUCGGGCUUUCCCAGUCGGCCGCCCGACCUCAGCUCCUGGCCUGGGGUCAGGGGGGCCCCCUUCUUCUGCCCCAGCCCCUGCCAGGAUGGGGCGCUGUGCCCGGCCUCGGAGCCGCUGGCAGGCAUCCCCCACCCACAGUCCGUACAGCCGAGGCAUCCCCAGUGUGGAGGGAGAGCCCCGCUGUACCUGCAGCCUGUGCUGGGCCCCCGCCCGUGCCCACUGUGCCCGCCCGCCUGUGGGCCCUGAGCCUGGGAUUGUGCCGUGGCGGUGUCGGGGUCGGGGGAAAGGGACUGUUCGAAGCACAGCUGGAGGCUGCGGAGCCCGGACACAGGCUGCGGGAGCCGAGAGGCGGAGAGCUGACUGCAGCAGUCCCCUGGCUUGAAUCCGUCUUGGCGCCCAGAGCGAUGCUGUAA
This 1050-nucleotide long non-coding RNA is filed under the name Papio anubis (olive baboon). RNAcentral describes it as "lncRNA (ENSPANG00000037636.1)". The record is from RNAcentral. Lineage: Eukaryota; Metazoa; Chordata; Mammalia; Primates; Cercopithecidae.